RNAcentral lists this ribosomal RNA (819 nucleotides) under uncultured bacterium. Its description in RNAcentral is "bacterial SSU rRNA". It matches the Rfam family "Bacterial small subunit ribosomal RNA", at positions 62 to 880 of the family's 1533-position model. The record is from RNAcentral.
UCGACGGAGCUUAUAUUUCAGAAGUUUUCGGAUGGACGAGAGAUAAGUUUAGUGGCGGACGGGUGAGUAACACGUGAGCAACCUGCCUUUCAGAGGGGGAUAACAGUUGGAAACGACUGCUAAUACCGCAUAACGCUGCGAUGGGGCAUCCCGAUGCAGCCAAAGGAGCAAUCCGCUGAAAGAUGGGCUCGCGGCCGAUUAGCUAGUUGGUGGGGCAACGGCCCACCAAGGCGACGAUCGGUAGCCGGACUGAGAGGUUGAUCGGCCACAUUGGGACUGAGACACGGCCCAGACCCCUACGGGAGGCAGCAGUGGGGGAUAUUGCACAAUGGAGGAAACUCUGAUGCAGCGACGCCGCGUGAGGGAAGACGGUCUUCGGAUUGUAAACCUCUGUCUUUGGGGAAGAAAAUGACGGUACCCAAAGAGGAAGCUCCGGCUAACUACGUGCCAGCAGCCGCGGUAAUACGUAGGGAGCGAGCGUUGUCCGGAAUUACUGGGUGUAAAGGGAGCGUAGGCGGGCGAGAAAGUUGAAUGUUAAAUCUACCGGCUUAACUGGUAGCUGCGUUCAAAACUUCUUGUCUUGAGUGAAGUAGAGGCAGGCGGAAUUCCUAGUGUAGCGGUGAAAUGCGUAGAUAUUAGGAGGAACACCAGUGGCGAAGGCGGCCUGCUGGGCUUUAACUGACGCUGAGGCUCGAAAGCGUGGGGAGCAAACAGGAUUAGAUACCCUGGUAGUCCACGCUGUAAACGAUGAUUACUAGGUGUGGGGGGACUGACCCCUUCCGUGCCGCAGUUAACACAAUAAGUAAUCCACCUGGGGAG